RNAcentral lists this ribosomal RNA (667 nucleotides) under Cydistus sp. UPOL RK1302. Its description in RNAcentral is "partial large subunit ribosomal RNA". It matches the Rfam family "Eukaryotic large subunit ribosomal RNA", at positions 670 to 1259 of the family's 3401-position model. The record is from RNAcentral. Lineage: Eukaryota; Metazoa; Arthropoda; Insecta; Coleoptera; Phengodidae.
GGAGUCUAGCAUGUGCGCGAGUCAUUGGGACUCUUGCUCUGCGUACGAAACCUAAAGGCGAAAUGAAAGUGAAGGCGCGCGCGCUCAGGCCGCGCGCCGAGGGAGGAUGGGCGGCUCGGCGCCCGAGGCGACGACGGCGCCGUCGCCGCCCCGCACUCCCGGGGCGUCUCGUCCUCAUCGCGAGGAGAGGCGCACCCAGAGCGUACACGCUGGGACCCGAAAGAUGGUGAACUAUGCCUGGUCAGGACGAAGUCAGGGGAAACCCUGAUGGAGGUCCGUAGCGAUUCUGACGUGCAAAUCGAUCGUCGGAACUGGGUAUAGGGGCGAAAGACUAAUCGAACCAUCUAGUAGCUGGUUCCCUCCGAAGUUUCCCUCAGGAUAGCUGGCGCUCGUCGAGCGCGAGUCUCAUCCGGUAAAGCGAAUGAUUAGAGGCAUUGGGGUCGAAACGGCCUCAACCUAUUCUCAAACUUUAAAUGGGUGAGAUCUCCGGCUUGCUUGAAGCAUGAAGCCGCGAGAUCGGAUCUAGAGUGCCAAGUGGGCCACUUUUGGUAAGCAGAACUGGCGCUGUGGGAUGAACCAAACGCGGAGUUAAAGCGCCCAAAUCGACGCUUAUGGGAUACCAUGAAAGGCGUUGGUAACUUAAGACAGCAGGACGGUGGCCAUGGAA